Molecule: ribosomal RNA, 419 nt
Filed under: bacterium
Lineage: Bacteria
Description: partial 16S ribosomal RNA
Rfam family: Bacterial small subunit ribosomal RNA
Source: RNAcentral
UGGGGGAUAUUGCACAUUGGGCGAAAGCCUGAUGCAGCGACGCCGCGUGGGGGAUGAAGGCCUUCGGGUUGUAAACUUCUUUUGCUCUGAACAAGGCAUGCUAAUGGGUGUGUUGAGUGUAGGGGUUGAUUAGCGCCGGCUAACUACGUGCCAGCAGCCGCGGUAAUACGUAGGGCGCGAGCGUUGUCCGGAAUUAUUGGGCGUAAAGGGCUUGUAGGUGGCUGGUUGCGUCUGUCGUGAAAGCUCAUGGCUUAACUGUGGGUUUGCGGUGGGUACGGGCUGGCUUGAGUGCAGUAGGGGAGGCUGGAAUUCCUGGUGUAGCGGUGGAAUGCGCAGAUAUCAGGAGGAAUACCGGUGGCGAAGGCGGGUCUCUGGGCUGUUACUGACACUGAGGAGCGAAAGCAUGGGGAGCGAACAGG